UGGGGAAUCUUGCGCAAUGGGCGAAAGCCUGACGCAGCGACGCCGCGUGAGUGAUGAAGGCCUUCGGGUUGUAAAGCUCUGUGGAGGGGGACGAAUAAGUCGGGGUUAACAGCUCCGAUGAUGACGGUACCCCUUUAGCAAGCACCGGCUAACUCUGUGCCAGCAGCCGCGGUAAGACAGAAGGUGCAAGCGUUGCUCGGAAUCACUGGGCGUAAAGGGUGCGUAGGCGGCUGUGUAAGUCUGGCGUGAAAGCCCAGGGCUCAGCCCUGGAAGGGCGCUAGAAACUGCGCGGCUAGAGUGCCGGAGGGGAGAGUGGAAUUCCGGGUGUAGUGGUGAAAUGCGUAGAGAUCCGGAGGAACCCCAGAGGCGAAAGCGGCGUCCUGGCUCGCAACUGACGUUCAGACACGACAGCAUGGGGAGCAAACGGGAUUAGAUACCCCAGUAGUCCCUGAGCGGGCUGGCAAGGCGCAU
This 471-nucleotide ribosomal RNA is filed under the name uncultured bacterium. RNAcentral's name for it is "bacterial SSU rRNA". It matches the Rfam family "Bacterial small subunit ribosomal RNA", at positions 355 to 825 of the family's 1533-position model. The record is from RNAcentral.